RNAcentral lists this ribosomal RNA (460 nucleotides) under uncultured bacterium. RNAcentral's name for it is "partial 16S ribosomal RNA". It matches the Rfam family "Bacterial small subunit ribosomal RNA", at positions 338 to 795 of the family's 1533-position model. The record is from RNAcentral.
CCUACGGGAGGCAGCAGUGAGGAAUCUUGGUCAAUGGACGAGAGUCUGAACCAGCCACGUAGCGUGAAGGAUGACUGCCCUAUGGGUUGUAAACUUCUUUUAUAUGGGAAUAAAAUGUUCCACGUGUGGGAUUUUGUAUGUACCAUAUGAAUAAGGAUCGGCUAACUCCGUGCCAGCAGCCGCGGUAAUACGGAGGAUCCGAUCGUUAUCCGGAUUUAUUGGGUUUAAUGGGAGCGUAGGUGGAUUGUUAAGUCAGUUGUGAAAGUUUGCGGCUCAACCGUAAGAGUGCAGUUGAAACUGGCAGUCUUGAGUACAGUAGAGGUAGGCGGAAUUCGUGGUGUAGCGGUGAAAUGCGUAGAUAUCACGAAGAACUCCGAGUGCGAAGGCAGCUCACUGGACUGCAACUGACACUGAGGCUCGAAAGUGUGGGUAGCAAACAGGAUUAGAUACCCUUGUAGUC